RNAcentral lists this transfer RNA (65 nucleotides) under Leiodidae sp. BMNH 1274772. RNAcentral's name for it is "tRNA-Pro". Lineage: Eukaryota; Metazoa; Arthropoda; Insecta; Coleoptera; Leiodidae. The record is from RNAcentral.
CAGAAAAUAGUUUAUAAAAAUAUUAAUUUUGGAGAUUAAAGUAGUAAAAAAAUUUAUUUUUCUGA